Chelonia mydas (Green sea turtle) is the source of this 73-nucleotide non-coding RNA. Lineage: Eukaryota; Metazoa; Chordata; Testudines; Cheloniidae. The record is from Rfam.
GCCUUCUUAGUGUAGUGGGCAGCACAUCAGUCUCAUAAUCUGCAAGUCCUGAUUUAGAGCCUCAGAGAAGGCC